RNAcentral lists this non-coding RNA (28 nucleotides) under Mus musculus (house mouse). Lineage: Eukaryota; Metazoa; Chordata; Mammalia; Rodentia; Muridae. The record is from RNAcentral.
UGCCAACAAGUCUGUUGUAGGAUAUGAA